UCCCUGGAGGACUAGUGGUUAGGCCAUGUGCUCACACCACCUUGGCCCGAGUUCGAUUCCAGGCCAGGGAA
Molecule: transfer RNA, 71 nt
Filed under: Pangasianodon gigas (Mekong giant catfish)
Lineage: Eukaryota; Metazoa; Chordata; Actinopteri; Siluriformes; Pangasiidae
Description: tRNA-Val
Source: RNAcentral